GAUGAACGCUGGCGGCGUGCCUAAUACAUGCAAGUCGAGCGAACGGAUAAGGAGCUUGCUCCUUUGACGUUAGCGGCGGACGGGUGAGUAACACGUGGGUAACCUACCUAUAAGACUGGGAUAACUUCGGGAAACCGGAGCUAAUACCGGAUAACAUUUGGAACCGCAUGGUUCUAAAGUGAAAGAUGGUUUUGCUAUCACUUAUAGAUGGACCCGCGCCGUAUUAGCUAGUUGGUAAGGUAACGGCUUACCAAGGCGACGAUACGUAGCCGACCUGAGAGGGUGAUCGGCCACACUGGAACUGAGACACGGUCCAGACUCCUACGGGAGGCAGCAGUAGGGAAUCUUCCGCAAUGGGCGAAAGCCUGACGGAGCAACGCCGCGUGAGUGAUGAAGGGUUUCGGCUCGUAAAACUCUGUUAUUAGGGAAGAACAAAUGUGUAAGUAACUGUGCACGUCUUGACGGUACCUAAUCAGAAAGCCACGGCUAACUACGUG
This 497-nucleotide ribosomal RNA is filed under the name uncultured bacterium. Its description in RNAcentral is "partial 16S ribosomal RNA". It matches the Rfam family "Bacterial small subunit ribosomal RNA", at positions 28 to 507 of the family's 1533-position model. The record is from RNAcentral.